UAGCCGUAAACGAUACUCGCUAGGUGUCGGCCACGGUGCGACCGUUGUCGGUGCCGUAGGGAGGCCGUGAAGCGAGCCACCUGGGAAGUACGGCCGCAAGGCUGAAACUUAAAGGAAUUGGCGGGGGGAGCACCACAACGGGUGGAGCCAGCGGUUUAAUUGGACUCAACGCCGGGAAGCUCACCGGAUAAGACAGCGGAAUGAUUGCCGGGCUGAAGACCCUGCAUGACCAGCUGAGAGGUGGUGCAUGGCGUCAGUGACU
This 262-nucleotide ribosomal RNA is filed under the name uncultured archaeon. RNAcentral describes it as "partial 16S ribosomal RNA". It matches the Rfam family "Archaeal small subunit ribosomal RNA", at positions 748 to 1008 of the family's 1478-position model. The record is from RNAcentral.